This 300-nucleotide unclassified non-coding RNA is filed under the name uncultured fungus. RNAcentral describes it as "sequence contains 5.8S rRNA gene, ITS2". The stretch from base 1 to 71 matches the Rfam family "5.8S ribosomal RNA", at positions 84 to 154 of the family's 154-position model. The record is from RNAcentral. Lineage: Eukaryota; Fungi.
GUGAAUCAUCGAAUCUUUGAACGCACAUUGCACUUCCUGGCUUGCUAGGAAGUAUGUCUGUUUGAGUAUCAUUUUAACCUCAACACUAAUGGUUUGUGUGAAUCAGUUUGAUAAGCAUAAAUUGUUGGUAUUGGAUUUGAAUCGUCAUGCUAGUCACGCGAUUUUAAAAGCAAAGUGUCAUCCACAUCUACGGUGAUAAUGACAUGUCUCUUUUCUAAGAACAGUCGUUCUCGAGAGGAAGCAUUCAUGACUGCUGUAGAUUGGAAUUAAUGACAUUCUUAACUCGAGAGUAAAGUAGAU